GGGGAAUUUUGGACAAUGGGGCCAACCUGAUCCAGGCCUGCCGGGGGGGUGAAGAAGGCCGUCGGGGUGUUAAAGCCCUUCGGACGGGAAGAAAAUGCCGGCCCCAAACUAGGCCGGGGAAGAAGGUAACCUAAGAAGAAGCACCGGCUAACUACGUGCCAGCAGCCGCGGUAAUACGUAGGGUGCGAGCGUUAAUCGGAAUUACUGGGCGUAAAGCGUGCGCAGGCGGUUUGGUAAGACAGGUGUGAAAUCCCCGGGCUUAACCUGGGAACUGCGCUUGUGACUGCCAGGCUAGAGUACGGCAGAGGGGGGUGGAAUUCCACGUGUAGCAGUGAAAUGCGUAGAGAUGUGGAGGAACACCGAUGGCGAAGGCAGCCCCCUGGGCCUGUACUGACGCUCAUGCACGAAAGCGUGGGGAGCAAACA
This 425-nucleotide ribosomal RNA is filed under the name uncultured Rhodocyclaceae bacterium. RNAcentral's name for it is "bacterial SSU rRNA". It matches the Rfam family "Bacterial small subunit ribosomal RNA", at positions 356 to 774 of the family's 1533-position model. The record is from RNAcentral. Lineage: Bacteria; Pseudomonadati; Pseudomonadota; Betaproteobacteria; Rhodocyclales; Rhodocyclaceae.